Pan troglodytes (chimpanzee) is the source of this 418-nucleotide long non-coding RNA. RefSeq lists it as uncharacterized. The transcript is spliced from 3 exons. The record is from RefSeq and is a predicted model, not a curated record. NCBI's taxonomy places the organism in Eukaryota, Metazoa, Chordata, Mammalia, Primates, Hominidae.
AAAAGAAAUGGAUCAGAUGCUUCAGAGAAGAAAUAAUUUUGUAGGAAGUCAGGAGACCUAAGUUUAGUCUACUAAGACCCUUCCUUGUGUCCUUGGAUCACUGGCCUGAGUCCAGAGAAUUCUGAGCCCUGCAGCCCUUUCUGCCUGGAGGGGAACCGAGCAGGGAGGGAGCUGCACCAAACAUGCGCCCUCUGCUCCUUAGAGGCCUGAUGCUCCCUUCAGUUUACUCUGGCUUGACAGCUCCAUUUCAACCCCCACCUUGGAGAUGAGGCAGCUCAAUAUUUACUCAGCCAGAGAGCAAGUGUAAACCCAAGAAAAGACUCAACUUUGGAAAUGUAAAGGAUUUGAAGGACCAGCUGGAUGUUUCUACUGGCAGAAAAUGGACAGAGAAGACCUCCUGCAGGGACACCCAAGAGAA